RNAcentral lists this ribosomal RNA (366 nucleotides) under uncultured bacterium. Its description in RNAcentral is "partial 16S ribosomal RNA". It matches the Rfam family "Bacterial small subunit ribosomal RNA", at positions 338 to 701 of the family's 1533-position model. The record is from RNAcentral.
CCUACGGGCGGCUGCAGUGAGGAAUAUUGGUCAAUGGGCGGAAGCCUGAACCAGCCAAGUAGCGUGCAGGAUGACGGCCCUACGGGUUGUAAACUGCUUUUAUACGGGAAUAACGCGCCGUACGUGUAGGGCUUUGCAUGUACCGUAUGAAUAAGGACAGGCUAAUUCCGUGCCAGCAGCCGCGGUAAUACGGAAGGUCCGGGCGUUCUCCGGAUUUAUUGGGGUUAAAGGGAGCGUAGGCGGCAUGUCAAGCGUGCUGGGAAAUGUGCGGGCUCCACCCGGGCCUUGCCGCGCGAACGGGCGUGCUUGCGUCCGCGGCAAGCAGGCGGAAUUCGUCGUGUAGCGGUGACAUGCUUCGCUAUGACG